This is a non-coding RNA of Citrus sinensis (sweet orange), 161 nucleotides long. NCBI's taxonomy places the organism in Eukaryota, Viridiplantae, Streptophyta, Magnoliopsida, Sapindales, Rutaceae. The record is from Rfam.
UUACAUACCUGGACGGGGUCGAUGGGUGAUCAAGAAGGCCCAUGGCCUAGGCUUGUGGCUUCCAUUGCACUCAAGGGAUGUGCACUAGCCUAACAUCUCCCUCUGAGGAGACUGUACGUCAUAAUUUGUGGUAGUGGGGACUGCGUUCGCGCAAUCCCCUC